GACGAACGCUGGCGGCGUGCUUAACACAUGCAAGUCGAACGGAAAGGCCUCUUUCGGGGGGUACUCGAGUGGCGAACGGGUGAGUAACACGUGAGUAACCUGCCCUUGACUUUGGGAUAACUUCAGGAAACUGGGGCUAAUACCGGAUAGGAGCUCCUGCUGCAUGGUGGGGGUUGGAAAGUUUCGGCGGUUGGGGAUGGACUCGCGGCGUAUCAGCUUGUUGGUGGGGUAGUGGCUUACCAAGGCGUUGACGGGUAGCCGGCCUGAGAGGGUGACCGGCCACAUUGGGACUGAGAUACGGCCCAGACUCCUACGGGAGGCAGCAGUGGGGAAUCUUGCACAAUGGGUGGAAGCCUGAUGCAGCAACGCCGUGUGCGGGAUGACGGCCUUCGGGUUGUAAACCGCUUUCGCUCAUGACGAAGCUUUGUGUGACGGUAAUGGGUAAAGAAGCACCGGCUAACUACGUG
RNAcentral lists this ribosomal RNA (467 nucleotides) under uncultured bacterium. RNAcentral describes it as "partial 16S ribosomal RNA". It matches the Rfam family "Bacterial small subunit ribosomal RNA", at positions 28 to 507 of the family's 1533-position model. The record is from RNAcentral.